This 84-nucleotide microRNA precursor is filed under the name Branchiostoma floridae (Florida lancelet). Its description in RNAcentral is "mir-2060 microRNA precursor family". It matches the Rfam family "mir-2060 microRNA precursor family". Lineage: Eukaryota; Metazoa; Chordata; Leptocardii; Amphioxiformes; Branchiostomatidae. The record is from Rfam by way of RNAcentral.
GUGUGUGUGUGGAUGGUGUUCAGCACCAGGGACAAGUUUGUGUGUGUGUAUGUUGUUCAGCACCAGGGACAAGUUUGUGUGUGU